RNAcentral lists this ribosomal RNA (834 nucleotides) under uncultured organism. RNAcentral describes it as "bacterial SSU rRNA". It matches the Rfam family "Bacterial small subunit ribosomal RNA", at positions 598 to 1437 of the family's 1533-position model. The record is from RNAcentral.
AAUCCUGCAGCUUAACUGUAGAACUGUCAUUGAUACUGGGCUUCUUGAAUGUAGUUGAGGUAGGCGGAAUGUGUAGUGUACCGGUGAAAUGCUUAGAUAUUACACAGAACACCGAUUGCGAAGGCAGCUUACUAAACUACGAUUGACGCUGAGGUACGAAAGCGUGGGGAGCGAACAGGAUUAGAUACCCUGGUAGUCCACGCUGUAAACGAUGAUCACUCGUUGUUGGCAAUACACCGUCAGCGACUGAGCGAAAGCAUUAAGUGAUCCACCUGGGGAGUACGACCGCAAGGUUGAAACUCAAAGGAAUUGACGGGGGCCCGCACAAGCGGAGGAACAUGUGGUUUAAUUCGAUGAUACGCGAGGAACCUUACCUGGGCUUAAAUGUAGAACGACGGACCGGGAAACUGGUCUUUCUUCGGACGGUCUGCAAGGUGCUGCAUGGCUGUCGUCAGCUCGUGCCGUGAGGUGUCGGGUUAAGUCCCAUAACGAGCGCAACCCUCAUCAUUAGUUGCCAGCGGGUAAUGCCGGGGACUCUAAUGAAACUGCCGGUGUAAACCGAGAGGAAGGUGGGGAUGACGUCAAGUCAGCACGGCCCUUAUGUCCAGGGCUACACACGUGUUACAAUGGUCGGUACAAAGGGCAGCUACCUGGCGACAGGAUGCUAAUCUCGAAAACCGAUCUCAGUUCGGAUCGAAGUCUGCAACUCGACUUCGUGAAGCUGGAUUCGCUAGUAAUCGCGCAUCAGCCAUGGCGCGGUGAAUACGUUCCCGGGCCUUGUACACACCGCCCGUCAAGCCAUGGAAGCUGGGGGUACCUGAAGUCCGUAACCGC